This 301-nucleotide ribosomal RNA is filed under the name uncultured bacterium. RNAcentral describes it as "partial 16S ribosomal RNA". It matches the Rfam family "Bacterial small subunit ribosomal RNA", at positions 509 to 809 of the family's 1533-position model. The record is from RNAcentral.
CAGUCGCCGCGGUAACACGUAGGGUGCAAGCGUUAAUCGGAAUUACUGGGCGUAAAGCGUGCGCAGGCGGUGUUGUAAGACUGAUGUGAAAUCCCCGGGCUCAACCUGGGAACUGCAUUGGUGACUGCAACGCUGGAGUGCGGCAGAGGGGGAUGGAAUUCCGCGUGUAGCAGUGAAAUGCGUAGAUAUGCGGAGGAACACCGAUGGCGAAGGCAAUCCCCUGGGCCUGUACUGACGCUCAUGCACGAAAGCGUGGGGAGCAAACAGGAUUAGAUACCCCUGUAGUCUGUCUCUUAUACAC